This 76-nucleotide transfer RNA is filed under the name Merluccius polli (Benguela hake). RNAcentral describes it as "tRNA-Leu". It matches the Rfam family "tRNA". Rfam says of the family: Transfer RNA (tRNA) molecules are approximately 80 nucleotides in length. Their secondary structure includes four short double-helical elements and three loops (D, anti-codon, and T loops). Lineage: Eukaryota; Metazoa; Chordata; Actinopteri; Gadiformes; Merlucciidae. The record is from RNAcentral.
GCACAGUGGCGCAGCGGAAGCGUGCUGGGCCCAAAACCCAGAGGCGCUGGAUCGAAACCAUCCCCUGCAAGAUGCA